UGUUUCACUAUGUUGGGGUGAUCCGAGCCA
Molecule: non-coding RNA, 30 nt
Filed under: Homo sapiens (human)
Lineage: Eukaryota; Metazoa; Chordata; Mammalia; Primates; Hominidae
Source: RNAcentral